UGAGGAAUAUUGGUCAAUGGGCGAGAGCCUGAACCAGCCAAGUAGCGUGCGGGUGACGGCCCUUUGGGUUGUAAACUGCUUUUAUGGGGGGGUAAAGUGCGUGACGUGUCAUGCAUUGCAGGUACCACAUGAAUAAGGACCGGCUAAUUCCGUGCCAGCAGCCGCGGUAAUACGGAAGGUCCGGGCGUUAUCCGGAUUUAUUGGGUUUAAAGGGAGCGUAGGCUGUCUAUUAAGCGUGUUGUGAAAUAUACCGGCUCAACCGGUGGCUUGCAGCGCGAACUGGUCGACUUGAGUAUGCAGGAAGUAGGCGGAAUUCAUGGUGUAGCGGUGAAAUGCUUAGAUAUCAUGACGAACUCCGAUUGCGCAGGCAGCUUACUGUAGCAUAACUGACGCUGAUGCUCGAAAGUGCGGGUAUCAAACAGG
RNAcentral lists this ribosomal RNA (423 nucleotides) under Fusobacteriota bacterium. RNAcentral describes it as "Fusobacteria bacterium partial 16S ribosomal RNA". It matches the Rfam family "Bacterial small subunit ribosomal RNA", at positions 355 to 776 of the family's 1533-position model. The record is from RNAcentral. Lineage: Bacteria; Fusobacteriati; Fusobacteriota.